Long non-coding RNA from Catharus ustulatus (Swainson's thrush), 923 nucleotides. RefSeq lists it as uncharacterized. The transcript has 3 exons. The record is from RefSeq and is a predicted model, not a curated record. Lineage: Eukaryota; Metazoa; Chordata; Aves; Passeriformes; Turdidae.
CAUUGAUACUGAUCACCCAACAUCACAAGACAUCCCCAUCUCUCAGCGUGGACUCCCCCUAUCUGAUUUCGUUUUGCACCAGAGCUAAGGAGAAGUAGACACAACUAGUUUAGCAGAAAAUCAAGAGAAAAGUGGCUACUUGGGGCACCCCAGCUCGGCAGCCAAGAGCACAGCUCCUCCAUGGCAGAUGCGCUGCGAACACUCACGGCAAGUCCCAGCAGAGCGCCCGGCUGGCUGCACAUUCCCAGCCCUGUCCCACAGCCUCAUCCCUCUCCUGAAGCCUGGAGCAGGUGGAAGGACUCUGGAAGGACCAUGACCUUUUCCUGCCCAAUUGCACAAGGUUAAUGAGACCUGCAGAGGAAUCGCUGCUGGACACGGGGCAACACGAGCCUUGCAGAGCAUCACAUCUGGAGUCCAGAGGUGUUUGCCUCCCCCAUUUGCAUUUGCUUCCCACUCCCUCAUAUGGAGCAGGAUCAGUGAUUCUCCUUUGCAAAGAGCUCGAACAAGGACUGUGGAAGAGGAAUAAAGGGGAAAGGAGAUUUGAAAAUGAAGUCUAGUUAUUUUUUAAUCUCAUACCUGAAAUUUAUAGCAUCAUUCUCCCCUCUGAAUAAACAACUAUUCUGUCCCCUCCAAUUACAAUGCACAAAGCUGACUGCUACAUGCAAUGUCAAAUUUACACUGGUGCCUUUUAUCAGGAUUUCCUUUCAUAUUGCUCUCUAAGCAAUGACUUUGUAAGGAGAUUAACUGCAUUAUAUGCCACACAUUAAACAAACCCACAUGUAUACAACACAGCUUUUAAGAGAUUUCUCUUUUCCCCAGGAUAGCCCUUCCUAUCUUAGAAGGUCUUGGUUUUUAUUGGUUUUUAGCAUCCUAUCCUUCAAGCACUUGUCCACUGUCACCACUACCACCAGAGAGGAGUUCAA